CCUACGGGGGGCUGCAGUCGAGAAUUUUUCUCAAUGGGGGAAACCCUGAAGGAGCGACGCCGCGUGGAGGAUGAAGGGCUUCGGCUUGUAAACUCCUGUCAUUUGGGAACAAUGCCCCGAAGUUAACUGCUUCGGGGUUGAUAGUACCAGAAGAGGAAGAGACGGCUAACUCUGUGCCAGCAGCCGCGGUAAUACAGAGGUCUCAAGCGUUGUUCGGAUUCAUUGGGCGUAAAGGGUGCGUAGGUGGCGCGCUAAGUCAGGUGUGAAAUUUCGGAGCUCAACUCCGAAACUGCAUUUGAUACUGGCGUGCUUGAGGACUGGAGAGGAGACUGGAAUUCACGGUGUAGCAGUGAAAUGCGUAGAUAUCGUGAGGAAGACCAGUGGCGAAGGCGGGUCUCUGGACAGUUCCUGACACUGAGGCACGAAGGCCAGGGGAGCAA
RNAcentral lists this ribosomal RNA (440 nucleotides) under uncultured bacterium. RNAcentral describes it as "bacterial SSU rRNA". It matches the Rfam family "Bacterial small subunit ribosomal RNA", at positions 338 to 771 of the family's 1533-position model. The record is from RNAcentral.